AUGCUUGCUUCAACAGCACAUAUGCUAAAAUUGGAAGGAUACAGAGAUUAGCAUGGCAAGGGUGAUAUGCAAAUUCGUGAAGGAUUCCAUAUAAAA
Molecule: small nuclear RNA, 96 nt
Organism: Camelus dromedarius (Arabian camel)
Lineage: Eukaryota; Metazoa; Chordata; Mammalia; Artiodactyla; Camelidae
Source: Ensembl